UUGAUUAUAUCAUAAGAGAUGAAAUUACCUAACCUAAAUUAGCACACGUGGUGAUAGUGUACUUGCUUUGUUGAAUGUUCUGAUUAUAUUAGUGUUAUUAUAUGAAUUGCAUUUAUCUGUUGAAAUGAGAAUUUUGAAUAGAUGAAUUUAAUGAAGUGGAACAUAAAGGAAAAUAUGGGAGAAAUAUAUAAUUAAUUACUGGUGUUUGUUGUUUUAAUUCUAUCUUAAUAGGUCACAUCUAAUGCUUGGUCUAACAAUUUUCAGAAGUGGGAUGAUUUCCCGUAGCAGAACCCGGUCGCGCAGCCGGGUGAGGUGGUGUCCAUGGAGAAUGGAGCGUGAGCAGCCACGGGUGCAAGAAGAUGACAACGAAAGCAGCUCCCGGCGCCAACUUCGCUGCCACGUUGAGUCUACAGGCUGACGGCGGAUACGACGUUCACCGAGCGGUACUGGGUCGCAAAGCGAGUCAGGAUGGACGAGUGUCAAAAUGACAUUCCAAUGUGGCUGACAAGCACGGGACCCAGAGCUAUUCGAGCGCCAUAUUGGAACGAUGUGGCUAUUUAAGACCUGUAGCUUAAGGUCUGAGUUCAGUCUACGCUGAAAUUUUGGAAGAAAUAGUGCAAGUGUUAUAGUGUUUCGUGGUGGUUAGAAAAAGCUAAGUAUAUUAACUAUUUGGUUACUUUAAUAUUAGAAUGUUAGUAUGAUUAUCUGCAAAUAUUUUGAGACAUUAACCAUAUUGUGAUAAUUUCCUAAAUCUGCUUAAACUUUGAUUUGUUAUAGUUUGAGGUUUUAUCCACAUUGUGUAAAUUGGUUAUUGUUGGUUAAAAUGAUUUUCUCUGGAUUUCCAUCGGAAAUAAUUGUGUGAUUAAAAUGAAUUUAAAAUAACGUAAUUUUCCUAGUUCUGUAAAACUAAUAAGUUUGUCCCGCCAUUUUUUAUUAUUGGUGGAAUAAGAUUACAAAGGCGGUAGUAAUAAACUUUGGUUAAUAAUGUUAAAAUAAAUACAGUUACAUAACCUAAAAUAAAAACACGUGUUAAUAAUUUAUUAACUUUGUUGAUUAUUUGAUUAUAUCAUAAGAGAUGGAGUCAGUUAACCUAAAAUAAAACCACGUGUUGAUAAUUUAUUGAUUAUUUGAUUAUAUCAUAAGAGAUGAAAUUACCUAACCUAAAUUAGCACACGUGGUGAUAGUGUACUUGCUUUGUUGAAUGUUCUGAUUAUAUUAGUGUUAUUAUAUGAAUUGCAUUUAUCUGUUGAAAUGAGAAUUUUGAAUAGAUGAAUUUAAUGAAGUGGAACAUAAAGGAAAAUAUGGGAGAAAUAUAUAAUUAAUUACUGGU
Long non-coding RNA from Maniola jurtina (meadow brown), 1330 nucleotides. RefSeq lists it as uncharacterized. The record is from RefSeq and is a predicted model, not a curated record. The transcript has 2 exons. Lineage: Eukaryota; Metazoa; Arthropoda; Insecta; Lepidoptera; Nymphalidae.